CCCUUAGAUGUUCUGGGCCGCACGCGCGCUACACUGAUUCAUUCAUCAAGUCUAUAACCUUGGUAGAAAUGCUUGGGUAAUCUUUGAAACUGAAUCGUGCUGGGGAUUGGAGCUUGUAAUUAUUCUCCAUGAACGAGGAAUUCCUAGUAAACGCGAGUCAUCAGCUCGCAUUGAUUACGUCCCUGCCCUUUGUACACACCGCCCGUCGCACCUACCGAUUGAAUGGUCCGGUGAAAUCUUCGGACCGGGCGAUGGUCAGCAAUGGCCGCUGCCUGGAAAGUCGCCUAAACCUUACCAUUUAGAGGAAGGUGAAGUCGUAACA
This 322-nucleotide ribosomal RNA is filed under the name uncultured eukaryote. Its description in RNAcentral is "partial 18S ribosomal RNA". It matches the Rfam family "Eukaryotic small subunit ribosomal RNA", at positions 1470 to 1796 of the family's 1831-position model. The record is from RNAcentral.